This 353-nucleotide transfer-messenger RNA is filed under the name Planctomycetia bacterium. It matches the Rfam family "transfer-messenger RNA". Rfam says of the family: Bacterial tmRNA, also known as 10Sa RNA or SsrA, is named for its dual tRNA and mRNA-like properties. The record is from RNAcentral. Lineage: Bacteria; Pseudomonadati; Planctomycetota; Planctomycetia.
GGGGGCGAUUGGAUUCGACUGGGUCACCAUAGAUGAUGGUGGCGUGCCGUGGUUGAUCAGCAGGCCACGUAAAAAGCCGAUCACAUAAUAGUUGCCAAUCGGCAAUUCUCCUUGGCAGCCUAGUGCUGCCACUGGCCUAGGAAUCCCCGUCUGAGGAGUCCGAAAAGCCUGUCGCAAAUUCAGACUGGUGUCCGCUCAGCGCCGACUACAGCGGGUACGAGACAACGUGGUUAGCUGGCCAAAGACAAGCCUCGUUCGUUGAGCUUGUUCCGGUGAGAUCGAUCAGCGAACUACGCACGUAGAGGCUAUCGUUGAGGGAUCACAGGACGGGGGUUCGAUUCCCCCCGCCUCCA